Molecule: long non-coding RNA, 1166 nt
Organism: Clupea harengus (Atlantic herring)
Lineage: Eukaryota; Metazoa; Chordata; Actinopteri; Clupeiformes; Clupeidae
Source: Ensembl
AUUCAAUCUAUUCACAUCAGUGCUAUAGAAAGAAAGUUAGAAAGUUCUGUACGUUGACUCGUAUGUUUCCAUUGGGUUUGUACAGCAGCCCCUGUGAAUGAGACAUCAAUAACUCAAUAUUCCCUCUCUUCACCAAAGGGACGCCGGUUGCAUUCGAUAGUAAAUGUUCCAUUUCAUGUGCGUUGAGUGAUAUUGUAAUUGGUAUUUAUGUAUUUGGUGUAUGGUGGAGGGUGGGGGGUAUAUGUUUACGUGUUUGUAUGUCAGUAAGCCCACAUCUUCAUAUGUUUCUGAGUGUUUAUGUCAGUGUGUGUGUGUGUGUGUGUGUGUGUGUGAUAGAGAGAGAUAUGGCUGUAUGUGUGAUACAUGUGCAUGUAUUAGUGUUGGUGUAACUAUCUUUAGAUGUUAGGUGUCUGUGAAAGUUUUGUGUACCUGUUUGUGUAUGUGCACUGUAUGUGUGUGUUUGUAUGUGUCUGAUUAUAUGCGUGUGUGUUGGUAUGCAGCCUGUAUGUGUGUGUUUGUAUGUGUCUGAUUAUAUGCGUGUGUGUUGGUAUGCAGCCUGUAUGUGUGUGUUUGUAUGUGUCUGAUUCUGUGCGUGUGUGUUGGUAUGCAGCCUGUAUGUGUGUGUUUGUAGGUGUCUGAUUCUGUGCGUGUGUGUUGGUAUGAAGCCUGUAUGUGUGUGUUUGUAUGUGUCUGAUUCUGUGCAUGUGUGUUGGUAUGCAGCCUGUAUGUGUGUGUUUGUAUGUGUCUCAUUCUGUGCGUGUGUGUUGGUAUGAAGCCUGUAUGUGUGUGUUUGUAGGUGUCUGAUUCUGUGCGUGUGUGUUGGUAUGAAGCCUGUAUGUGUGUGUUUGUAUGUGUCUGACUCUGUGCGUGUGUGUUGGUAUGCAGCCUGUAUGUGUGUGUUUGUAUGUGUCUCAUUCUGUGUGUGUGUGUUGAAGCCUGUAUGUGUGUGUUUGUAUGUGUCUGAUUCUAUGCGUGUGUUUUGAAGCCUGUAUGUGUGUGUUUGUAUGUGUCUCAUUCUGUGCGUGUGUGUGUUGAAGCCUGUAUGUGUGUGUUUGUAUGUGUCUCAUUCUGUGUGUGUGUGUUGAAGCCUGUAUGUGUGUGUUUGUAUGUGUCUGACUCUGUGCGUGUGUGUUGGUAUGAAGCCCGUGAGCCUGAUGAGGGUGAGG